AGUGAACGCGGCGGCGUGCCUAAUACAUGCAAGUCGAACGGAAUUUAAAAGAGCUUGCUCUUUUAAAUUUAGUGGCGCACGGGUGAGUAAUAUAUAGCUAAUCUGCCCCUUGCUGGAGGACAACAGUUAGAAAUGACUGCUAAUACUCCAUACUCCUUUUUACCAUAAGAUAAAUCGGGAAAGAAUUUCGGCAAGGGAUGAGACUAUAUCGUAUCAGCUAGUCGGUGGGGUAACGGCCUACCGAGGCUAUGACGCGUAACUGGUCUGAGAGGAUGAUCAGUCACAUUGGAACUGAGACACGGUCCAAACUCCUACGGGAGGCAGCAGUAGGGAAUAUUGCGCAAUGGGGGAAACCCCUGACGCAGCAACGCCGCGUGGAGGGAUGACACUUUUUCGGAGCGUAAAACUCCCUUUGGUAAGGG
Molecule: ribosomal RNA, 422 nt
Filed under: Campylobacter gracilis
Lineage: Bacteria; Pseudomonadati; Campylobacterota; Epsilonproteobacteria; Campylobacterales; Campylobacteraceae
Description: bacterial SSU rRNA
Rfam family: Bacterial small subunit ribosomal RNA
Source: RNAcentral